CAACCUUCAUUGCGAGUCCUCCGAUGUCAGCCCAUCCCUCACCUCUCACCGCCGCUGUGGCCGCGGCCGAGGUUUCCUGACGCGCCUACAACGACUGCACGUACCCCAGGGCAUCACAAGCCGUCGCCCUCUCCACUACAUCAGCUGAUUAAUCUUGGCCGCAGAAUUCGUUCACCCCCGGGUUCGUCUGCAUACUUACAACCCACUCAAGGUUCAAGGACACCCUCACCAGCAUCCCCUCGCACCAGCCGCAGUAUUACAGGCUCAAAAUCAUGAUGUUGCGUUUUCUGACCAUCUUGUUGUCCCUCGGCUCCCUGCUUGCAACAACACCCAUCCACCUGAAGCCUGGUGCCCUCACGGCACACAUAGGAGAGGUCUUCCUCAUAGAAGAUGUGCUCCUCGUAAAAUAUCCAUAUACUUCCUUGACCAACACCACGGACACAAUCAGGAUAGUCUCAGAAAAACUACUCGGCAUGGCAGACGCCAUACGGGCUACCACGACUAGGGAAUCAAAGGCACCUUCUAGUACCAACUCUCUGACUCUUUUUCAACUACUGGAGG
This is a long non-coding RNA of Eriocheir sinensis (Chinese mitten crab), 561 nucleotides long. RefSeq lists it as uncharacterized. The record is from RefSeq and is a predicted model, not a curated record. The transcript has 3 exons. NCBI's taxonomy places the organism in Eukaryota, Metazoa, Arthropoda, Malacostraca, Decapoda, Varunidae.